UACGAAGGGGGCGAGCGUUGUUCGGAUUUACUGGGCGUAAAGGGCGCGCAGGCGGCGCAUUUUGUCAGGCGUGAAAGCCCCGGGCUUAACCUGGGAACUGCGUUUGAUACGGAUGGGCUAGAGUUCGGGAGAGGAGAGUGGAAUUCCCAGUGUAGAGGUGAAAUUCGUAGAUAUCGAGAGGAACACCAGUGGCGAAGGCGAGUCCCUGGACAACACCUGACACUGAGGCACGAAAGCUAGGGGAGCAAACGGG
Molecule: ribosomal RNA, 253 nt
Filed under: uncultured bacterium
Lineage: Bacteria
Description: partial 16S ribosomal RNA
Rfam family: Bacterial small subunit ribosomal RNA
Source: RNAcentral